GUGUGACUGCGUACCUUUUGUAUAAUGGGUCAGCGACUUAUAUUCUGUAGCAAGGUUAACCGAAUAGGGGAGCCGAAGGGAAACCGAGUCUUAACUGGGCGUUAAGUUGCAGGGUAUAGACCCGAAACCCGGUGAUCUAGCCAUGGGCAGGUUGAAGGUUGGGUAACACUAACUGGAGGACCGAACCGACUAAUGUUGAAAAAUUAGCGGAUGACUUGUGGCUGGGGGUGAAAGGCCAAUCAAACCGGGAGAUAGCUGGUUCUCCCCGAAAGCUAUUUAGGUAGCGCCUCGUGAAUUCAUCUCCGGGGGUAGAGCACUGUUUCGGCAAGGGGGUCAUCCCGACUUACCAACCCGAUGCAAACUGCGAAUACCGGAGAAUGUUAUCACGGGAGACACACGGCGGGUGCUAACGUCCGUCGUGAAGAGGGAAACAACCCAGACCGCCAGCUAAGGUCCCAAAGUCAUGGUUAAGUGGGAAACGAUGUGGGAAGGCCCAGACAGCCAGGAUGUUGGCUUAGAAGCAGCCAUCAUUUAAAGAAAGCGUAAUAGCUCACUGGUCGAGUCGGCCUGCGCGGAAGAUGUAACGGGGCUAAACCAUGCACCGAAGCUGCGGCAGCGACGCUGAUGCGUUGUUGGGUAGGGGAGCGUUCUGUAAGCCUGCGAAGGUGUGCUGUGAGGCAUGCUGGAGGUAUCAGAAGUGCGAAUGCUGACAUAAGUAACGAUAAAGCGGGUGAAAAGCCCGCUCGCCGGAAGACCAAGGGUUCCUGUCCAACGUUAAUCGGGGCAGGGUGAGUCGACCCCUAAGGCGAGGCCGAAAGGCGUAGUCGAUGGGAAACAGGU
This 840-nucleotide ribosomal RNA is filed under the name Escherichia coli. RNAcentral describes it as "partial 23S ribosomal RNA". It matches the Rfam family "Bacterial large subunit ribosomal RNA", at positions 591 to 1430 of the family's 2925-position model. Lineage: Bacteria; Pseudomonadati; Pseudomonadota; Gammaproteobacteria; Enterobacterales; Enterobacteriaceae. The record is from RNAcentral.